CACUAGUAUCCAGUCUGGAGGGUUGGCUCGCAUGUUAUGUUACAGCUGACCCUCAUCUCAACUCUAACCCCUGACCCCUGGAGCUAUCUGUCAUGACAGGACAGGACAGUGGGCUGCUGGUUAACUCAACAUGGAGACUGAGAGGGAGAGAGGGGGGGGGGGGGGGGGGAACAGGGCACCAAAACAGCAGACAGAGGUCUCAUUUAUCCUCCUCUCACUGUGUCCUUUUCUAUUUUUUCUCUCCAUCCCUCCUUCCCUCCUCUUUUGUUUUCACAGCAGUGAAGAAACGGUUGCCUUUUCCCCCCCUUUCUCCUCCUUUUAUUUUCUCCCCUUCUUUUCAUGGUGGUGGCAGGCGCACUUUGGCCAUCCCAGGUACUGGCUGGAAACAGUGAGGAUUCUGGGAGAUGGUGAGAUGAGGCUUUAAUGAGAAUGAGGCCUUCCCAGCUGGAGAGAAAAAUAUAUGCAAAUGAGAUGUGUGAGCCAAGAGGACACCGGGAUGAAGAACGUGUGGCAAACAGCAAGGGGCGAACUCCAGCUGACUACGGUCGCCUCCAAGGAGAGGAAGACGAUCUGACGAAUGGGAAUGACAGGGAGGGGAGGGGACACACAGGGCCCCGCCUGCCGUCUGUCCUAGCAGUCCUGAUGACUUCUCCCUUGAUAAUCAGCUGCUAUGGGCCAGGGAUAAUUCACCUGUCAAUGCCACCUACUGAGGCUGGAACAAGGAUUGAA
Oncorhynchus mykiss (rainbow trout) is the source of this 729-nucleotide non-coding RNA. Lineage: Eukaryota; Metazoa; Chordata; Actinopteri; Salmoniformes; Salmonidae. The record is from RefSeq and is a predicted model, not a curated record.